Molecule: non-coding RNA, 134 nt
Filed under: Symbiodinium sp. CCMP2430
Lineage: Eukaryota; Dinophyceae; Suessiales; Symbiodiniaceae
Source: RNAcentral
AAAAGAAAGCACAAAGAGAAAGAGAAAAAAGGAACGAAGGAAAAGUGAAGAGAAAGAAGUGAAAUGAAAAGAACCACGCGCUCCACUUGUCUUCUUUUCUUUCACUUGUUUCACUUCAUUCUUUUCCUUCUCCA